Molecule: ribosomal RNA, 429 nt
Filed under: uncultured bacterium
Lineage: Bacteria
Description: bacterial SSU rRNA
Rfam family: Bacterial small subunit ribosomal RNA
Source: RNAcentral
UGGGGAAUAUUGGGCAAUGGGCGCAAGCCUGACCCAGCAAUGCCGCGUGUGUGAAGAAGGCCUGCGGGUUGUAAAGCACUUUGGGCGGGGAAGAAGGGGCUUGGGUUAAUACCCCCGGUCCUUGACGUUACCCGCGGAACAAGCACCGGCUAACUCCGUGCCAGCAGCCGCGGUAAUACGGAGGGUGCGAGCGUUAAUCGGAAUUACUGGGCGUAAAGCGUGCGUAGGCGGAGCGGUCAGUCUCGCGUGAAAGCCCCGGGCUCAACCUGGGAACUGCGCGGGAUACUGCCGUUCUGGAGUGCGGGAGAGGGCGGUGGAAUUUCCGGUGUAGCAGUGAAAUGCGUAGAGAUCGGAAGGAACACCAGUGGCGAAGGCGGCCGCCUGGACCGACACUGACGCUGAGGCACGAAAGCGUGGGGAGCAAACAGG